UUUUUCAUAACUGAUUAGUGCACAGAUUAAUAGAGAUAUUUUCCUUGUGUACUGUGUGUGUGUGAGUGUGUGUGUGAGUGUGUGUGUGCGCGUUGGGGGGGGCAUGAAGGAUUUCUGCAUAAAACAAAAAUGGCUGCUCUUUCUAACUCCCCCCCCUAUAAAAAAAUAUUUGAGGGGGGGCAUUAAUCAGUACUCAUGCUCAGUCUGACAUCAGCAUAAAUUGUUAAAGGUUAACUAGUUAGAUACUAGUCCAACUAGAUUUAAAUAUUUUUCUUUUCUUUACUAGUCUCUUCCUCCCCACCUCCCUUCUCUUAAAGAAAAGCUUUUUUUUUUUUUCUGAAUACUUCAGAAGGGAGUGGUUUGAUGUGAAGGUUUUUUUUUUUCCCCUUCAGGCAUUGAAAAGGAAAAGAUGAAAUAUAUGUUUAUAUAUAACUCUUUCUACAUACCUCACUGAAGUCAAAACGCAUUUAAUUGUUAUAUUUCCCUUUCUCCAUGAUCUCCGACACUGGUAAAGUGGAAGAAACUGAGGUAUGGUGAAACAGAAAAGUCUCUGGGACUGAGAAAAAGACAGAGGAGCCGGAUCACCCGAGGAGAGCUCCCUGGAAACAGUGGCACUGAGACACUGAGACACUGAGCUUGCGGAUUGGAUUUCCCUCCUCCCUCCGACAGUCACCUAACGCGACUACAGGUGAGAGGAUUUGCGACCUGGGCUACGAACAGCACCUUCCCCUGAGGGAGCUGAGGGCUGCUGGAGCUUCUCCUGCUCCCAACAUCUGGCCCCAUUUCCAGGCUCUGUCCUGCUUCCUGUAAACAAGCCCGACCCGGGAACGUAGGAAACGAACGAGGUUCUGUUGGGCCCCGUUCUCCCCGUGGAGGCACAAACACUGUUGUUGGGUUGGAAACCAAAUGUUCGUCACAGAUACGGUCUACCAGUUCUCUAAUCGUGACAGCUGUUACCUGGAUGCUGAGGAAUGCCAAAUCUCAGGAAAUCCCGCAGGAAACAGGCGUGACGAAAUUGUGGCUGGGACGAGGGAAGGAGAAGAAAAGGAAAAUUCGGGGGUGGCCGUCCAAAGGGCCUUGGGCGCUGCCGGGCGCUCUCCCGUACUCCAGCUCAUUCGGUCUUCCCAACAACACUGUAAGGAGCUUCUGUUCAGAGUGACCGUGUCCUGGUUUAUGCCUGUUGUUCUUCGGGAACCCUUAUGUCUGUUAUUCAUGGCUGACAGCUAAACAAAUGGGGUCUUAAGAAAGGAGAGUAUUCGGCGUGUGGUUCCAGAGCCUUCUGCAGCUGGAUUUCCUCUGUGACCGUCCGGUUGUGUCUCAUGAACAGCAGCUUGACUUCUCUGAUGUUUGACCAUUUCGCUGUUGGCUCCGUCCGGGGACAGCCAAGUCCUGGUCUUGACCUCGUUAGAGGGCCUCACACGGUUUACCACCCCCUCCUCUCAGAUACUGUCCUUGGCUUCCGCGGCACCAUUUUCUCCGAUCACUCUCUCCGCUCCCGCUCUUCUCCAUGCUCGAGGAGGGGCUCGUCCCCGCAGAUGGCUGCAGUGACUGUUGAGAGCCCCACGCCUCACCCCCGGCCCGAGCGCACUCCAGGACCCUGUGCCGUGCACGGAGCCAGUAAGAUGCGACCGUCUGUAUUUGUGUGCCCCAAAGUGACUUCACGGCCAGCUCACAACACCUCACCUUCCGUCCCCCAUCAGAGGCCCCUUCUCCCCAGCGGACUCUUCAUCCUCUCAGUCCCCCCUCCAGGGCCAGACAAUGGGGUGUCAUCCUCGUCUCCUCCCUCUGCCCCAGACCUGCCCCCAGGAAAUUACGGAGCUCGGGAUUCUGCCUUCGCUUCAGUCCAUCUACUCUGACCUCCGCGGCCCCUAACUUAGUCCUGGCCGCCUCUAUCCCUCCCCUGGACCCAUCCUCCAUUUUUCUCCCCUCCCUCUCUCUACUCCAGUCCCUUCUCUUGACAUUGUAGACAAGUCACCUCUUUACAAUGCAAAUCCGACUGCGCCAUUGUCCCUAGAAAACCCUUAACCCUGAAUUGUACACUUUGAAAGGGUGAAUUUUAUAGUGUGUGACUUAUAUCUCAACAAACAACAGCCAGGUUUAGGAAGCUUCAGCUGACCUGUUCUGGCAUCAACACCCCUCAUUGCCCACCCUCCCCGGCCUCCAUCUCUUAGCUUUGCCUUCUGCUCCCCAGUUCUCCACUCUUACCCCGAAACUCUGGGCUGUCUGUGCUGUUUAUUCUUCGCAGGAAGCCUUCCGUCCUCCCCUUGCUCCUCCCUGGUCUCAGGGUCCUGCCCUUCGGGUCUCAGGUGGAGCCGAAGCUUCUCCCAAAAGCCUUCACUGAUCUCCCCAGAUGGGGGUUGGGUGUUCCCGAGGCGCCUCAUACUUAGCCUUUUUGUGGCAUUCAUCUCCUCUUUGUUCCUUUCAUGGAUAUUGAGUGACUGUUCUGGGCUGAGCCUGAGGGAGGGAGGUACUGGGCUGUCUGCCCUCCUGGACCCUCGAGUCUAAGAAGGGAGGAAGGUGAACACUAAACUGAAUUACACCAAAACUUUCAUUGCAUUGAGAGGGAGAGAAGGAAUAUUUGACAUGGUUGGAGGGGUCCGGGAAGACUCACCGGAGGAGGUGACACUAAGCAGAGCCUCUAAGGGGCAGGAGCUGGCCAAGCGAGGAGUCGGGGGUGGAGCGUUCGGUGCAGGGGACAGCGGGUGACAAGGCCGUGCCAGAGGGAGCCUGGGGGGUUUCGGAAGUAAGAUCUCACGUCCAGCACGGGUUUACUACAAUGUGACUCUGACCCCCGUCCGUCCGAGCAGGAGGCCAAUUUUCCAACCCCCGGAUUGGAGGCUGGCUUCCUCCUGCUUGUCCAGAGCUACGGUCAUCCCGCGGCCACACUGCCUCCGUGGGGGGCCACACGGAGGGGUGCCCAUGGCCAGCAGCACUCAGGGCGGUGUCACUGAGCCCCUCUGCAACAAGUGGGUCCUGCAGCUCGGGGCAGUCCAUGCGGCUGGCUGGACUCCUCUCGGAACCCUGCCCACAUCCCAGGUCCAUUAGCAAAAUAAAGAUGCGAGUUGUUUGAAGGCUCCUGAGUCUUGGGCUGGCUUUGAUCAGCAGCGACAGGCAUCCUAUGUGUGUCCCCAUAGCGGGUGGCAGGUGGCAGGUGGCGCAGCUCCGGGUGAAGUGGGCGCCCCACGGCCGGGUUGGUUUGGAGUCCGUCUCGGCCGCACACUACGUAGUUGCGUGACCUUUGGCAAGUCCCUUCAUCUCUCUCUGCCUCCGUGCCCUUCGUUUGCCAGUGUCCAUACAAACAGUACUUCGGUUUGUCGCGACGGCGGCCGCAUAAGUGAUGGACGCAGGUGAACGCAGGUCCCCAGGCGAUGCGGACCGGCCCGCGGCAUCGCCCCGGCCGGCCUCGGAGCGUCUGACCGCCACUCUCUCGAGCGGCUGUGUUUGUUCGUUUUUAUAGCAGUUGCGUGUGCGUGCUUGUGCGUGUGUGCGUGCUUGUGCGUGUGUGCGUGUGCGCGCAUACACGGCGUGCAGCUCUCAGUGCCAUCUGCAGCGAUCCUGUCUUUGCGCUUAUAGUGUCUCGCUCCAGACUGUAGUCCCAGCGCCGGGCCGUCACGUCUGUGUCCGCAGGACCCGAAACCGGCCCGCGCACAAGGCGUCUGAUCACUUUCUGUGGUUAACGAGUGGACGAGCCGCGCUUGCGCGGGACUCGCGGAAGCCAUUGCUGGUCCCGACCCGGUCUCCGGACGAUCCCUCUGCAGCAGCAGUCCCUGCGGUUGUUGUGGGCGUCCAUAGAAAAUACACGGUCCCACAUCGCUCGCAGCCAAGGGUCCUGUGUCACCUGCGUCCGAUCACUGAGAUGUGCUCAGAGAUCUGCGAAGGACGCUGGGAAAAUGCCUGCUCGGAUCCAGGCCCUGCCCUUCCCCCCUCCCCUCUUCCCCCUUCCUGCCCCCGUGCAGGCCAGAAGUAGAGCGGCCAGACAGGCGACAAACGUGAGGCCCACAGCUGCCGGGGACACUGAUGGCCUGCCCCGUGGAAUGACGGCACCAGACUGUCAAAUUUGGUAAAAAUGAACUUUUGGUAGUUAGGCCUCAGCCCCCAGCCUUCUGUUCUUUGCAGCCAGAUCCGUUCUCAGUGACCCACUGGGCGGAGGAAGGUCUGCCCGGAGGGGCUGUCCGGUGAGGGCAGGGGGACAUUUCGUCUUCCUCACUGCCCCAGAAGAGGGCUGGCGGAAGUCGCCAGCACAGAUGUGACUGACCACCUCUCCGCAGCUCUCUUCCAACAGUCAGCGUGCGCCAGCAGCCAGGCCUUCCCGUUCUGCGUCUGUGUGGCCCCGUUGUUCCAACACUUCACAGAGCCUGGCCUACGGGCCGCCCAUUCCUGGAUAAUAAAUACAAGUACGCAUUGCCCUCCACACCAGGCGUCCUGUGGCUGCCGCAGAUACAGAGAUGACCGAGUCAAGUGGCGGAGGCCGUCCCGACAGCAGCAGCGCCCGGGCUGUACGGGCUGCGCGCGUCAACCUUAUCCCGCCGCCGCCGAUGACUGGGUGUUGGGGUCACACGUAAAUGCGAGACCCCCUGACUCUGCUCCAGCGCACAUCCAGAUCGGAAUCCGGGACAGUGCUCUGCGCUGUCGCUGGAAACACACCCACACCUGUAAUCAGAGCCCCUACCUGUGCGACCGCAUGGGUCUUAUUCCUCAAACUGGACCCCUUUCCUGCUUGUGGACAAAAUGUAGACCAGAAUGUAGCCUAAU
Long non-coding RNA from Ailuropoda melanoleuca (giant panda), 4752 nucleotides. RefSeq lists it as uncharacterized. The transcript is spliced from 5 exons. The record is from RefSeq and is a predicted model, not a curated record. NCBI's taxonomy places the organism in Eukaryota, Metazoa, Chordata, Mammalia, Carnivora, Ursidae.